RNAcentral lists this ribosomal RNA (417 nucleotides) under uncultured bacterium. Its description in RNAcentral is "bacterial SSU rRNA". It matches the Rfam family "Bacterial small subunit ribosomal RNA", at positions 1000 to 1414 of the family's 1533-position model. The record is from RNAcentral.
CCCGAAAGGGUGGGGUGCCCGCAAGGGAGCGUGGAGACAGGUGGUGCAUGGCUGUCGUCAGCUCGUGUCGUGAGAUGUUGGGUUAAGUCCCGCAACGAGCGCAACCCUCACCCCUUGUUGCCACCGGGUCAUGCCGAGCACUCUAGGGGAACUGCCAGCGUCAAGCUGGAGGAAGGCGGGGAUGACGUCAAGUCAUCAUGCCCCUUACGCCCUGGGCGACACACGUGCUACAAUGGCUGGUACAAAGGGAUGCAAGACCGCGAGGUGGAGCUAAUCCCAAAAAACCGGUCUAAGUUCAGAUUGCAGUCUGCAACUCGACUGCAUGAAGGAGGAAUCGCUAGUAAUCGCGCAUCAGCACGGCGCGGUGAAUACGUUCCCGGGCCUUGUACACACCGCCCGUCACACCACGAAAGUCGG